RNAcentral lists this ribosomal RNA (497 nucleotides) under uncultured bacterium. RNAcentral describes it as "partial 16S ribosomal RNA". It matches the Rfam family "Bacterial small subunit ribosomal RNA", at positions 30 to 507 of the family's 1533-position model. The record is from RNAcentral.
AUUGAACGCUGGCGGCAUGCCUAACACAUGCAAGUCGAGCGGGCGAAGGGAGCUUGCGCCUGGAUGCAGUUGCCGACGGGCGGGUAAUGACUAGGAAGCUGCCUGACAGAUGGGGAUAGCGUCCGUUAAGGGGAGCGAAGACAGCAUACGUUAAUAUGUAGAACGGGGGGGUUCAACGGACAACACCCGAUUAGAUGACACUUAGUGGGGGAACCAAGUUGCAUUAGCUAGUUGGUAGGGUAACGGCCUACCAAGGCGACGAUGCGUAGCUGAUCUGAGAGGAUGAUCGGCCACACUGGAACUGAGACACGGUCCAGACUCCUACGGGAGGCAGCAGUAGGGAAUAUUGCACAAUGGGCGAAAGCCUGAUCGAGCCAUGCCGCGUGUGUGAAGAAGGUCUUCGGAUUGUAAAGCUCUGUUAGUUGGGAGGAAGAGAAGUAAGUGAAUCUCUUGCUGUCUUGACGUUACCAACAGAGUAAGCCCCGGCUAACUUCGUG